Molecule: long non-coding RNA, 3534 nt
Organism: Alligator sinensis (Chinese alligator)
Lineage: Eukaryota; Metazoa; Chordata; Crocodylia; Alligatoridae
Exons: 3
Source: RefSeq, a predicted model, not a curated record
GGCAGGUGGAAAAAACCUCAGGUAAAUGCAGUAAUAAUUGCAUUCUAACAUCCAAAGUAUACAUUCAUGACAUCAACUAACAAGAUUUUAAGUUAAUAGUGUAGUUUACAUUUUCUUAACCGCUAACUCCAAAAAUCACCAAAUAGCCCUCCAAUCUGUAGGUUAUUUCUCCUUUUUGUAACCUUUCUUUUUGUUUAACAUCCCUCUAAAUCAAGAAGGAUACUUCUCCAGAUGUAGUAGAUUUAUCUCUAAGGCCUUGAGCUGGCAUCUGAGUUUGUGGGCUGAUCCCUGCACUCAAGUACAGCCUCAUUUAAGUCAAGAGAGUUCAACAGGAACACAUACCCAUCCCUAUAUAAAUUGCAUUCCUGGGUCAUAAAGUAAUGAGUGCACAUUUUUAAUAAGGAAAUAGUUUCAAUAUUUCAAAACAUGAGUUUGGAAGCAUCUUAAAAUAAAAUCUUCUGGGCAACUUAGAAUUAGCUAUAAAAGAUUGUUAAAACUUUAAAUUCUCUUUUAAACAAAAUAGGUCAUCCUUUAUUUUAAACAGUUAAAGAAUGGGGUGUUAAAUGCAUCUGGCUUCAUGGUUUGGAUGAGUCAUGUGGGAUUGGUCCACAGGCUGGAACGGAUGCACAAACCAGGCCUGCAUGCCAGAUCCUGCUCAUGUUUUGGAGCAGCCAUUGUGGACACUACAUGUGACAGCUGUCUGUGCCACUGGAUCCUUCAUGGAGCUGAUGCAUGCAUGCUGUGGCACAGUCCUGGAGCAAGCUCUACGUGCAGCACAUAGGGCUGUGAGGCCUCCUUGCAUGCUGCCUGUGGGUCAACUCCAAGACUCGCAAGUAGCACUGGGGGCCAGCUAAUAGGACUCUGCCAGCCAGAUUCAACCCCAGAGCCAUAUCUUUUGACACCUCUGAUUUAAAGUAAAUUAUUAUUUCUAGUUUGAAGAACAAAAAUCUGACCAUGUGGCAGCAUUCCUCCUGUCUUUAAUACAUACUGUAUGAACUCUAGUAUUCUUAAACUAAAAAUAUCUAACAUUUUUGCAAAAUCCUUAAGACGUGCACAUUACUAACCAAGUUAACUACAAGAUCCUUAGGUCUGGUUGUGAAACCAGAGAUUCUAUUUUUUGAUUGGCUACAAUUUGCAAUAAGAACAGGAAGUUGAAAUGUUAUUCAAAAGGAAAACACACAUAAUACCCUAAAAAAAAGGCAAAACCUCAUAACAAGAAAACUAAAAUUGAAGUUUCAAAUUCAACUAUCAACCUGAAUGCUGACAGCUGAGGAAAAACUGACAUUUUCCCAUAUAGACAUAAAUUUUGACAAAACAAUUUCAAUGAAAAAGUCUCCUAUGUAAGAAGCUUUAACUAGCUACAAUGAUCUUGUUUCAAAACCUUUGACACCUUUUCUCAUAGAUCUCAACGUGUGCUUCCAUCUGACAUCAAGACGCAUUAUUUAGCCAAGUGUUCUUUGUGAAUGAUACACCCUUUAUCAUGGUCUCUAUGGGUUUCAGGUUCUAAUGGUUAAAAAAACCCCCAAAACUAGUCCAAAAUGGAUGUUUCAAAAGCACUUAAAUAAUUUAGGAGAACAAGCCUCACUGACUUUCACUGGGUCUUCUCUCUUUAGUAAUCUAGUUGUUUUUGAAAAUUCCACACAAAGUAUGUAACUACCUAUUAAAUGAAGCAUCACACAAACAUACAUACCAGUCCCAAUCUACAAGGCUCAUACGCAGAUAAGGAAGGUCUGUACCAAAAAUUACCUGUAAUAUACAUCCUACAAAGUAUAUGUGCUACACUGUAAACAAAAAUCUCUCAGGAAAAGAUAAUACAGAAAUGUUAUUGUAAACCAGGAAAAGAAUAAAAAGGGAUUCAACCAGGAAAAUUAUCGAAAAGGGAUUCACCAAUAAGAGACAUCAGAACUGAAGCAGAGGCUGCAGCACUGCUGCAAGAUGGACUAAAAAUGGUGCUCAGCUGGCUUUAACACUCAUCGCUCAGUAGCAAAGUGCUGGGUGAUAGGUGACUUGCAAAUUACUUUUAUAUUUGCAUGUGCAACCUACCUAAGCCUGGAGCUUUGCCUGUCUAAUACCUUUGUAUCUGUCACAACUAUGACUAUGGUGAUUUCACCUGUAACUGUAGGCUAGUGCUGUUACAACUGAUUUGGAUUAUCACGGAUAAAGUUGUCUGCUAUAUACUGCUUAACUUAAUGAUUGUAUGUCUUAAUAAUAUUUACAUUCUCUCUUCAUUAAUAUUGUAAGAUUAUAUAUCACUGCUGAAUUAUCUAAUAGCACCUACCAUUAAAAUAAUUCUUAUUUUGUUUUCCAGUUCACUAGAAGAUGAAAUGAAAGAAGGGACUUUUGUAAAAAUAGUUGAUGUGUUCUCAGAUACAGGAAUAUGAUCAUUUAAUUAUUCACAGAUUUCUUACAGAGUAUCAACUGUCAUGAUACAGUUGUGUCAUUUCUCACGGGUACACCAGAUACAUUUGUGUAUCAUGGAUCUAUUUCCAUAUAUUAAUGUUUCCUCAAACCCAUAUGAUGUAUCAUGGAUCUAUUUCCAUAUAUUAAGGUUUCCUCAAACCUGUAUGACUUUUUAUUUGUAUUUUAUUUUUGCUUGUUUCGUCUUGUCUUAUAUGCUUCUGUGACUCAGUUAAUUCUUGUUACUAAUCUUAAAUUUGUUUUUCCAAAGAAGUCAGUUCGAUUUAUAAAAGCUCAACUUUUUUUGGAACACCUGCUAUUUAUUGAGAUUCCUCAAGCAGACAGAAAUACACAUAAGUGUGCAGGAAAUAAUGAACCACUGUCACUGUCUAAGCACAGGUCUAUGCAGCAGAGGUUGGAGCAAUCAUAUUAGAGGAUACAGACCAGGCAGAACAGUCUGGAGAGCCAGACUGGAUUUACUGCUGACAGCAACCGUGCCUUAUGUGCUGGAUGGAGCACUUCAGCAAGUCUCCCUUGCUACCCUUGUUGACUAACACCUGAGCCAACCUAUUUACUGACUACCACCUAAGUCAGCAGCUCCCAAUCUGUGGUACGGGUACCAUGAGUGGUACGCAGACAACCUGUCAGUGAUCCGAGAUCCAGAGCGCGUGGCAAAGAGAAGCCCUGAGAGGGAUAACAUCAUUGAUAGAAGAGAGGACUUGACGUGUGACUUUGCCGUGACGCCUACUGAAGCCCUGAUCGUACAGUUCUUCGUUCUGAAUUUAAUUAUGUGUAUGUGUGUUUAUAUAGGUUGUUGUUUGAUUCGGUCUUUGGAGGACGAACUCCUUGUAUUGACAGAUUCUUAAGUAAUGAACAUGCGGUUUGAUACAGUUCUGCCUUCAACAAGCCCCGCUUGAUAUCAUAAUCCGAGGAUCUAAUUGUGUGUUUGUGUUGAUCAUUGUUUUGAUUGUUAUGUAACUCAAUUCCAGGACAGUGAAUUUUGUGUUUGUUUGUUUGUUUGCUCGUUGGACGACUCACAACAAGUUUUCUAAAUAGAGUAUAUAGCAUAAUUUAGCUAUGCUCUCAGCAAGGGGGGAUGUCACAACCCAAAGUUGUAGAUUUUUUGAUUGAGUGUGC